CGGCGUUGAAAGACAUGGCUGUCGCUACAGACCAGGAGACAGGGAAGACAGCAGCGGAGCAAGUGAAAAAGGUCUAGGGCUGUUGGAGGAAGCAUUUCAAAAGAUCAGCAAAGGAAAGAGUUUCUUUGGGGGAGAUCACAUUGGUUACCUUGACAUUGCAUUUGGGGGACUUUUGGGGUGGUUAAGAGGGACUGAGGGACUGGAUGGGGUCAAGCUGAUAGACGAAACAAAGACGCCGGGGUUUCUAAAAUGGGCUGAUAAGUUUGCUGCAGAUCCUGCCGUGAAAGAUGUUUUUCCAGACAUAGAGAAGCUUCCUGAGUUUCGUAGGUUCUUGCAGCCAAAUUAAGAGCUGCUGCAGCUUCUGGGACAAAAUAAUCAAUCUAGUGUUCUAUGUUUGUCAUUGUUGUGUGAAGUGUGGGAGCAUUUGUCAUUGUUGUGUGAGGUGUGGGAGCAUUUGCCAUUGUUGUGUGAAGUGUGGGAGCAGUAUUUUGUGUUUAUUAUGAGAAAUAAUCAAGACCUGAAAACGAUCUCUACAUUUUCAGAACUUCCUGUGUAAAAUACUUGCCAUCAGUUAUGAAAAUUCGAGGUUCAAGAACUCAAAAACGGGUUAUAGACACUCAGAUUCAAAUUAUAUCUCGCUUCCUCUCUCUCAUCGCCCUCUCUAUGAUCAAUGAACCCAGCUCUUGAAGGUAAAAAGAACAAAGAUUUCUGGGCGCGUACGAUUUAAACGAGACCAAUAUGGGGAGGGAAAAAAAUAACAAAAAAUAAAAUAAAAAAAGGAGACGGUCGAAUGGGCCUAAGUGGGCUAGACGGACAUAAGCUGUGUCUAGGCGGUGGCCAGGUUGGUGGCCUAAGCAGACUAGGGACUCACCAUUUAAAAACAAAAAAAAUUUAGAAAAGAUACGGUGGACUGGGCCUAGGUGGGCUAGGAGGAGAUGGGGUUUGUCUAGGCGGUGGCAAGGUUGGUAGGCCUUUCCAGGAUAAUGGAUCCACCAUUAAAAAAAUAGGAAAAAAAGACAAACUAUAUAGUUCGACUGUUCGACCCAGACAAGUCGUCUCUCGCCGUCCCUGAGUUCUGAUCUCUCUCCGGCGGAUGGCGGCGGCACUCCACGACUCGGAAUCGGUCGUCACCUGCUCUUCUGCUCAUUUGCUCAAUCAAAGCACACUGUGAUUAUGAAGAAGCAAUUGAUUCUGAUGAAGAGUUGGACAUGGCCUCAUUGGCAACCAGCCCAUGCAGGUCUCUGUCAUCAGUUGGUCUUCCUUGCUAAUGAUCAGUGAAACAUGGUUGGUAUAUUUAAGUACACAAAUGGUUAGGAUUCCUGUACUAAUCUAAGUCCAAGUUUCAGACAUCACUGUGAGCAAAUGGUACUAAUUAACCAAGUAACCAACUAAACUGACGAGAGAUGUUAAGGAUGCAUAGCGCAUGGUAUACAUUCCCAGAACAUGUGUAAUGUGUAUUCCUGAUUUGGUAUUUGAUGCUUUUGGGUGUGGAAUUCAACUUGUUGUUAUUUGAUUUGGUCAUCAAACUAACAUGUGUGAAUACUUGACUCUGGAUUGUUUUGUGUUCUAGCUUUUUUUUUGUGUGGUGUUUGAAAUUGUUCUUGUGUUGGGUGCAGACAGUUUGGCUGGAUAAGAGUACAGGAUUUGCUUGCCUGUCGAUUUCAUCAUAGGUGUUAAUAAUCACCGGAAUUAAUGAUCGGAGAUAAUGGAAUCUUAUACCUACUGAAGGAUCUAGGUGAGAUUUGCUCAGUGGCAAGGUUGGUGUUAAGCGGGUUAGGGGACCCACCUUUUAAAAACAAAACAAAUAUAAAAAAAAAAUUACGGUGGACUGGGCCUUAGUGGGCUAGCGGACAUGUGCUAUGUCUAGACGGUGGCAAGGUUUGUGGGCUUAAUUGGGCUAGGGGACCCACCAUUUAAAAACAAAAACAAAAAUAACACGGUGCACUGGGCUUAGUGGGCUAGGCGGAUAUGGGGUGUGUCUAGACGGUUGCAAAGUUGGUGGGCCAAGCGGGAUAGGGGACAGCGUAAAAAUAAAUAAAUAAAUAAAAGGCUAAUUAUGUAUGGUUUAAGCACACGACUUAGGCAAAGCUUGAACUCCACACUUACAAGAGAGAUUGAUUAUCCAUAAACUUCUACUUCUUCUUCCAUAGUUAAAUGUUUCGGUGGAAUUGAAAUCAUUGAACAGAAUCAGAUCCUGAUGCCCGUAGCCGAAUCAGCAUAAGGCAUCAUCUGAUCAUCAUGAUCAGCUGAAACCCAACUAAUCCAUGACAGUGAUGACACUAUCCACCAAACCAACGGCGACAAGUGACAGCUGCAGCUUUAGACACCUCCCUCACUUGUGACUAGGACCUUCCUGCCAGCUACAUCAUUGCCUCGACCCAAACUAGACAAAGAAAGACAUAGACACUGGUUUGGGUAUAACAAAGACUGUUCCUUCACCUACUUGAAAUGGAGAGAGGAGUUGUAGUGAAAGUUGACAAAUGGGGUUACGAAGUAAACACCUCCUCAGAUGCUUGCAUAUCUGCCAUUAACGCCUUCUAUGUUCAGGUUGGCCAUUCUUGCUUUGUCUCCUUCUCUAAACUUUUGGCAUGUGGAAAUAAAAUUUGAAAUGGGUUUCUAUUUAUGAAGGUUUUGAGUUAUGGGAGAGGCAGGUCUGUUAUAUUAGAAGCGCCGGCACACGACAGCAACUGUGGCUGCGCAUUUUCUGUGCUCGUCUGAUCCUUCCAAAGCUCCUCCGUAUCUCCAAGCGGCCAAGUCUCGGCUCGUAAGCUUCUCUUGAUUUUAAACCGUUUUUAUUAGUUUAAAUCGGGUGUUUAGUUUUCUGUGGUGUAAUGAGACGCUGAUUGUGGACAGGAACAAGCUACCCCGUACGAGAAGGCAGUUUUCGAUUCUGUCAAUUGUUUGAUUUCCGGGGAUAGAGAUGAUGAUGUUGCCUUUGAGUUGCAUUCUAAGGUGGGACCAGUUCUUUUAUUGGAAUUUUUCCAUUUCCUGAUUUGCAGAUGAUGCAGACAUUUAGUUUGGUUAUAAUUGUGGGAGACGUCUGGAAUGCUCCGGAGCGUCUGUGAGACGUUUGUUUUGUGACGGAAGUGAAAAGGUAACUAGCUCGUUUUAACUGUCGAUUGCAAGCACGUCCUAGCGAGGUGCGUCGUGCGUGGGUGACUAUGCGUUGCAGGUCUGUGUUGUCUUGGAUCCGACAGAAAGGCUGGGUCGAGGAGGCGGGGUAUGACUGGAGAGGGAACUGAUUUCUGGAUCGGAACGAAGAAACUAGGGCUGACCUCGGGCUGGACCAGCGGAAGAUCCGGAAGGAGUAGUUGGAUCGGAGGUUGAUCAAGGGAAGCGAGAUGGAGCCCGACCUGGAUUGCCAUAUCGAGCUGGAGGAGAGGAACUUGUACCUGAGGAAGUGGUGGUUGCGUGACGACAGCGGCGAGUAGAUUCCGAGCCAGUCGAGCUUCGACGGCGAGUCAACGCCGGACCAUUUGAUCAGAACCGAGUCGCCGGAUUUCGAUAGCCUCGUCGUGUUUAACGACACCGAGGGUUUCUGAUGGGUCGGAUCGAAACAGAACCCGAGUAUAAGAAUGAAGAAGAAAACAAACUGCGGCGAAGCAACAACCAUCGUGGUGGUGCUGGUGAUUGACCCAGCAAUAAUGAAACUGGAUAGUGUGCGGAGGAAACAUUUACUGAGUUAUGCAACUCACGCACUCAAGGAGACUAACGGGAGACUAACACGGACGAAAUACAUGCGCCAAUGGAGGAUCGACACGUAACCAAGACAAACGUGGAGCAUGGACGCUUCGGAGCAUUCCAGAACUCACGUGUAUAGAUCUUUUGGGAAGUUUCUCAAACUAGAAAGUUUGAACUUCAUACACAAUCUGAUGUGUCAGGAAUUCAAUUACUAUUUUCACUUGCUCCUGUUUGAAUCUGCCCCAAUGCCGUAGAUGCUUGUCUCAGAUGCUGUUCAUCUUCAUUAAUCACAUAAAUAGCAAGACAUAAAAACAAAGCAAAAUAUUGCAAGUGAAGAUGUUUAUAUUGAAUCAUCCAUCUAGCAAAUUGUAUGGUUCAGGAUUUGGUACUGCUAGUUUUAUAUAGUUUAGUUCAAGUGUCAGAUGUGCAGCCCUUAAAAGUAAGUUUAGUCUUUAAUCUUCAUUGCUUUUGAGCGCACAAAGCUGUCACUUCAUUCGCAACCAAGUCCAAUCAAAACUCAUCGAAACAGUGUACACAAGAUCUUGUGAUCAACUUGCAGACGUGUUUACCAAGGUUCUUGCUUCCGCACAGUUUGAGAGUCUGCUUUUCAAGCUUGGCUCAAGAAACUCCCUUGAUCCAACUUGAGGGGGAGUGCUGAGAUCAGCUUACUUGUGAUACACAUCUCCUCUCAAUCUUUCUGUCAUUGACCCUUGUUUUAGGGCUCCUCCAUGCUCUUCAGCAUGUGUGCAUGUGUAAAUGUGUAGAUCCAUAUUUAUAGGCAGAAAGUAAGGAACUGCUGGUAGAUAGGAUGUUGUGGUUCUUAGCUUGUUUCCUUCUCUUCUAUACGUACCUACCUCUGUAAGUUUACAACACAGUUAGUAAAAUACAGGCCCGUUCACUUGCGGGACGAUUUUUACGGGACAAAAUGAUAUCAGCCCUCCGAUUUGGUUAGUUUAGAUCUAAUGGCUCUAAAUCAUUAAACUAAAACUCUUCUGUUCAUCAUUCCAACCCAGGUCUCAAACACAUUACCUCUUCACCUCCAUCUUCUAAAAUCUUCAGAUAUAGGAAAGGAAACCCCGAGACAAGUUAGAUGGAACAUGAUUCCAAGAGGCAAGACUACAGAUGCACAAGGUUAAUUACAAACACCACAAAAAACUACAAUGAGAUUUCAUAAAGAUGGCCGCCACCACUAAAGCCGCUGCUGCAAGUCAUGCAAAACCUUCACUUCCGGCUUCACUCCUUCCAUACCCAAUUUGAUCUUCCAAUUUAAUCUCAUAUCUAAGGCAGAAAUUUAUGCACCAAUAAUGAAAUCAUGGAUGAGAUCAUAAGUUCAUCCCUUUGGAUUUAAUCCAAAUUUGAAGCAUCCUACCUCAAUAAAGCAAUGAUCUUGGGUACUUGUAGAUUAGAAAAGAAUGAAUCAUGGGUUUUAGCUAAACCCAGAAUUUAAGACGUUGUGGAAAUCCAGAUGAGCAUAUACAGGGAGAGAAGGAUAGAAAGGGAACAACGAAGGAAGAAGAUGGGAAAUGAAUUCGGUGUGGGUUGUGUGGAUUCACAAAGGUUUGUGGAGUCCCUUUCAGCCGUUGGAUCUGAUUCAUUUAAAUCAAAUGGCUAUAAGCUAGGUAUCCCAUUUUGUCCCGUAAAAGUUGUCCCGCAGGUGAGCGGGCCUGUAGUAAAAUAUAUUCAUCUUCUCCAUUUAAAUCUUCUUUAAUAGAUACGGUGUGUAUCUCCAUAUACAUAUAUAAAUAGUCAAGAUUAGAGGAAAUAAUAUAGAAACAUGGUGGUCAAACAUAUGAAUUGUUAUGAACGGUUAAGAUUGUGUCGUAUAAAUACACGUCGUGCAUACAAGAAUUAUGUCUUCUUUAAUAAUCUUCUCUUCCACGUGUUAUCUUCUUCGCCCCACCAAACAACCACACACCGCCCUCGAUCUGCCUAUCAGAGAGCAACGUAGAAAUGACUAUUUCUGUAACUGUCGAGACAAUAUGCAUCGUAAUUUCUUUAGUUUUCUAACACACGGUUACACGAUAUCUUCUGCUUUCUUUCCAUCCAUCCAUCCAUUUUCACAAACGUAAACGUUGCACUAAAUUUGACAAGGACCACUGCAACGCCAGUCUAUAGAAAUUGAAUUCUCAUCCCCUCCGACCUUGCCAAUUCACACACUCUACCUAACCUUCAUUACGUUCACACCUCACUUCCCAUCCAAUUUAUUUGACCGUUCACUCGUAUAUUAGUGCUCUGUUUUCCCCUGUAUUCUCAUUCACCCCAACACCCUGAACAGAGUUCAUAAGUGUAAGUUUUGAUCAUGGCUAAGAAUGAUGUGAAGCUUAUAGGAGCAUGGCCGAGCCCAUUUGUGUUGAGGGCUCGUAUUGCCUUGAACGUCAAGUCUGUAGAGUACGAGUUUCUUCAGGAGACAUUGGGAACCAAGAGUGAGCUUCUGCUCAAAUCGAACCCUGUUCACAAGAAAAUCCCUGUUCUGAUUCAUAAUGACAAACCCAUCUGUGAAUCUCUUAUCAUUGUGGAGUACAUCGACGAGGCUUGGGCCUCUGGCCCGUCCAUCCUGCCUUCUGAUCCCUACGACCGCGCCAUUGCCAGAUUCUGGGCUGCUUAUAUCGAUGAGAAGGUAUGUUGUAUACAUUAUUUGGUUAUGAUUUAGAUCCAUUCAUGAAUGUGAUUUACUUUUCUUUGUUUGAGUGUUGUAAUUUGGUUGAGCAUAGAUGCUAGUUGUGCAUGGAAUGAACAAGUAUAUAUGUUCAUGGCUAGAGGCAAACAGUGAAACAAAUUAUAUGAUAAUUCUUGAAAUAUCUAUAAAAUUUGCUGAUAUAUAUGUAUGACUCAGUUUUGUGAAUGCAAUAUAUCUGCUUUGAAAGUUGGAUCCUUGAAAGUUUGGAAGAAGCUAACACUUUGAAUUGCAUGUGGAUUUUGUUUAUAGAUCUGGUAGAGCUAGUUAGAUAGUAUGUCCAUCUCCUUGGAGACUUGUUUGGCCAUUUCGGGUUACAUCUCGGGAGAAGUAGACUACAGAUGUUCUUGAUUAAAACAUAUUUGGAAGUCUGAUCUAAUAAACUUAUUCGAUUCAAAAAUGACAUUUUGAAUCAGAUGUUAAGUUGUACUUCUCAUGCUUUUGACAAACUUGGUCUAGUAGAUGAACAAAUUGGAGCGAGAGAAUUCUGUCUCUCCUUGUCAAAAUAUGUAUUCAUAUUUUUAAGAUGCUUUGGCCGGAUAAUGUAACUGGUUUUAGGUGAUGCUGUUAUUGUUGAUGAGGCAUUUUGUACCAUAGACAAUGGUUAUCUUGGAUUAAUGAUGACAUGGGUGCUAUGUACUUGUAGUGGUUCCCGGCGAUGAAAGGCAUCGCUGCCGCUACAGAUGACGAGGCGAGGAAGGCAGCAGUGGGGCAAGUGGCAGAAGGUCUAGCGCUGUUGGAGGAAGCAUUUCAAAAGAUCAGCAAAGGAAAGAGUUUCUUUGGGGGAGAUCACAUUGGUUACCUUGACAUUGCAUUUGGGGGACUUUUGGGGUGGUUUAGAGUGACUGAGGGAAUGGGUGGGAUCAAGCUGAUUAACGAAACAAAGACGCCGGGGUUGCUAAAAUGGGCUGAGAAGUUUGCUGCAGAUCCUGCCGUGAAAGAUGUUCUGCCAGAGAUAGAGAAGCUUACUGAGUUUAGUAAGGUUAUUGUAGCCAAAUUAAGAGCGGCUGCAACUUCUGGGGCAAAGUAAUUAAUCUAGUGUUCAAUGUUUGUCAUUGUUGUGUGAACUGUAGCAGUAUUUUGUGUUUAUUAUGAGAAAUAAUCAAGACCUGAAAAGGGUCUUUACAUUUUCAGAACUUCUUAUGUAAAAACUAAAAAACUUUGCUGUCAGUUAUGAAAUUGAAUGGUGAAACAGAGGCUGGUGUCGGAAUUGUAUUAUCGUGGUGCUAGAACCCAAUUUAUGCCUCGCUUCCUCUCUCAGUUCCUGUAACUGAGAUUUCCGGUCGCCUACGAUUUGAACAGGACAAAUCUAAGGAGGAAAAAUAACAAAAAAAAAAAAAGAGAUGGUGGACUGGGCCUAAGUGGGCUAGACGGACAUGUGUCGUGUCUAGGCGGAUUCCAUGUAAGUGGGCCUAAGCAGGUUGUGGGACCCAUCAUUUAAAAACAACAAAAAUAAAAAAAGAUACGGUGGACUGGGCCUUAGUGGGCUAACGGAUAUGAGAGAUGUCUAGGCGGUGACCUGCUGGUUGGGCCUAGCGGGCUAGGGGACCCACCCUUUAAUAAUAAAAAAAAGGCGUUCAAUUUCGACUUGGGCAAAUAGUUGAAUGUUUGGGUGGGAUUGAAAUCAUUGGAAAAGAAUCAGAUCCUAAUGGCCGUAGCCGAAUCGCAUAAGGCAGCAUCAUGAUCAGCCGAACCCAACUAGACAACUAGUCCCUGACACUAUCCACCAAACCAACUGCGACAAGUGACAGCUGCAGAGCAACGUAAUCGACACCUCCUCACUUGUGACUAGGACCUUCCUAUCCUACGUACCUACUACACUCCAUUUCCUCGAUCCAAACUAAACAAAGAAAGACAGAGGCACUGUUUUGGGUAACAAAGAUUGUUCCUUCACUUGAAAUGGAGAGAGGAGAAGUGAAAGUUGACAAAUGGGGUUACGAAGUAAACACUUCCUCAGAUGCUUGCAUAUCUGCCAUUAACGCCUUCUAUGUUCAGGUUGCUCAUUCUUGCUUUGUCUGCUUCUCUAAACUUUUGGCAUGUGGAAAUAAAAUCUGAAAUGGGUUUCUGUUUUUGAAGGUUUUGAGUUAUGGGAGAGGCAGGUCUGUGAUAUUAGAAGCGCCGACACACGAUAGCAACUGUGUGCUUGCUAAUAUUUUGGCUGCGCAUUUUCUGUGCUCGUCUGAUCCUUCCAAAGCUCAUCCGUAUCUCCAAGCGGCCAACUCUCGGCUCGUAAGCUUCUCUUGAUUCUAAACCGUUUUUAUUAGGUUAAAUUGGGUGUUUAGUUUCCUGUGGUGUAAUGAGACGCUGAUUGUGGACAGGAACAAGCUACCCCGUACGAGAAGGCAGUUUUCGAUUCUGUCAAUUAUUUGAUUUCCGGGGAUAGAGAUGAUGAUGUUGCCUUUGAGUUGCAUUCUAAGGUGGGACCAGUUCUUUUAUUGGAAUUUUUCCAUUUCCUGAUUUGCAGAUGAUGCAGACAUUUAGUUUGGUUAUAAUUGUGUGUAUAGAUCUUUUGGGAAGUUUCUCAAACUAGAAAGUUUGAACUUCAUACACAAUCUGAUGUAUCAGGAAUUCAAUUACUAUUUUCACUUGCUCCUGUUUGAAUCUGCCCCAAUGCCGUAGAUGCUUGUCUCAGAUGCUGUUCAUCUUCAUUAAUCACAUAAAUAGCAAGACAUAAAAACAAAGCAAAAUAUUGCAAGUGAAGAUGUUUAUAUUGAAUCAUCCAUCUAGCAAAUUGUAUGGUUCAGGAUUUGGUACUGCUAGUUUUAUAUAGUUUAGUUCAAGUAUCAGAUGUGCAGCCCUUAAAAGUAAGUUUAGUCUUUAAUCUUUGUUGAUUUUGAGUCAUUUUGUUUUGCAGCUCUUGAAAUGUUUUCCUAAAGAUCUGGUGUCUCUAAAAAGGGCCCAACUGUUGUGCUUCUACAUGGCUCGAAAUGAUCUCUCACUGGAUCUUGUUCAACAGGUUCACUUCUAUGCUAAGGAUAUAUAAAGUUUUUAUUUUUCCUAGGACAAUGUGGAGUAUAUAGUUAAUUCAUUUCCUGAUAUAUUUUUUCCUAGCAUCUUCUUACUAUGACCUGAUAUGUAGUACUUUCCUUUUUGGUUUUAAGCAUUUCAUGAUAGUUUUGUGACCUUCAGGGUGAAUGUUUUCUUUACUGUUGUGUAAAAAUUUUGCUAACAGGUUUUACCAAGUAAUCAA
This 9545-nucleotide long non-coding RNA is filed under the name Fragaria vesca (wild strawberry). Its description in RNAcentral is "long non-coding RNA (FVES_LNC002659)". Lineage: Eukaryota; Viridiplantae; Streptophyta; Magnoliopsida; Rosales; Rosaceae. The record is from RNAcentral.